RNAcentral lists this long non-coding RNA (250 nucleotides) under Amborella trichopoda. Its description in RNAcentral is "long non-coding RNA (ATRI_LNC005071)". Lineage: Eukaryota; Viridiplantae; Streptophyta; Magnoliopsida; Amborellales; Amborellaceae. The record is from RNAcentral.
AAAUCCCUGAGUGUUAGUGUUUUGUUGUGUUCCCAAUCCAAAAUCCCCGAAGCUUGUCCAUCCUUCAUGCUCACCUGCACUGUCGUACUCAUCCCUACACUGUUGCUGUUGAGACUCGAUAUGUGAAUAAUAUGGCUGGGAUAGGGUGGCCUCAGAAUCAUCAUCUCUCUCAUUUUCUCUUAGACCCCCUUCCCACUCUCCCUCAUUAGGUACAAUAUCACCGACAUAUUGUGGAUACAUUGGCUGGCUG